RNAcentral lists this ribosomal RNA (495 nucleotides) under uncultured bacterium. Its description in RNAcentral is "partial 16S ribosomal RNA". It matches the Rfam family "Bacterial small subunit ribosomal RNA", at positions 28 to 507 of the family's 1533-position model. The record is from RNAcentral.
GACGAACGCUGGCGGCGUGCCUAAUACAUGCAAGUAGAACGCUGAAGGAGGAGCUUGCUUCUCCGGAUGAGUUGCGAACGGGUGAGUAACGCGUAGGUAACCUGCCUGGUAGCGGGGGAUAACUAUUGGAAACGAUAGCUAAUACCGCAUAAGAGUAGAUGUCGCAUGACAUUUGCUUAAAAGGUGCAACUGCACCACUACCAGAUGGACCUGCGUUGUAUUAGCUAGUUGGUGAGGUAACGGCUCACCAAGGCAACGAUACAUAGCCGACCUGAGAGGGGGAGCGGCCACACUGGGACUGAGACACGGCCCAGACUCCUACGGGAGGCAGCAGUAGGGAAUCUUCGGCAAUGGACGGAAGUCUGACCGAGCAACGCCGCGGGAGUGAAGAAGGUUUUCGGAUCGUAAAGCUCUGUUGUAAGAGAAGAACGAGUGUGAGAGUGGAAAGUUCACACUGUGACGGUAUCUUACCAGAAAGGGACGGCUAACUACGUG